CGAGGCCAUCCUGGCUAACAUGGUGAAACCCAGUCUCUACUAAAAAAUACAAAAAAAAAAAAAAAAAAAAAAAAAAAAAAAAAAAAAUCAGCCGGGCAUGGUGGCAGGCGCCUGUAGUCCCAGCUACUCGGGCGGCUGAGGCAGGAGAAUGGCGUGAACCCGGGAGGCGGAGCUUGCAGUGAGCCGAGAUUGCGCCAUGCACUCCAGCCUGGGUGACAGAGCGAGACUCCGUCUCAAAAAAAAAAAAAAAACCCGUGUCAUCCAAAAGCACACGAGGGGUCCUCCCCCUCAGGGACCCCUUCCCCGAGCCCCCUUAAUCAGCCCCCAAAGGCCCUACCAGUCCCCUCCCCCAGGGUUCUGCGGGCGGCGAUCAUUGCCCUGGGCGUCUGGAGCGGGUCCGGGGCGGGGAGGGGCAGGGCUGGGUGGGACCGGGCCGCCCCUCGCUCCCCUCCCACCGCGCUGCGGUCCCGCGCCCGAGCCGUCGCCAGCCGCUCCCUGCCUCCGCAUGGAGGCUCCUGCGGCCGCCGACGUCCCGGUCCCCGCUGAGCUCCCCGCCGUCGCCAAGGACCGGCCCCCAUAGCAGCCCCGGGCCCUCAAAUGCCAGGACCGCUUGUGGGGCCUGCGGGGCGCGCUGACCCGGACCUGCGGCGGGAGGCGGCUGAGCUGGCGGCGCUCGCGGGCCCAGUGUUUCUUGCGCAGUUGAUGAUCUUUCUCAUCAGCCUCGUCAGCUCCAUCUUCAGUGGACAUCCGGGCAAGGUCCAGCUGGACGCUGUCACGCUCGCCGUCACGGUGGUGAACGUUACUGGGAUUGCAGUUGGCACUGGCUUAGCCUCAGCUUAUGACACCCUCAUGUCUCAGUCCUUUGGAGGCAAGAACCUCAAGCACGUGGGGAUCGUACUUCAGAGAGGGGUCCUCAACCUUAUGCUGUGCUGCUUUCCCUGCUGGGCCGACUUUGUCAACACCAAGCACAUCCUCCUGCUCUUAAAACAAGACCCCGAAGUCUACAGGACUGAUUGACGUGAUGAAGCUUGGCGCUCAGGGCAUCAUCUGUGAGCUGGCGUCAGUGGCCUACAUGGUCUUUUUCAAAAUGGAGUCUCUUGGAGCGCCUCUGCCCGGCCGCCCCGUCUGGGAAGUGAGGAGCGCCUCUGCCCGGCCACCCAUCGUCUGGGAAGUGAGGAGCACCUCUGCCCGGCCGCCCCGUCUGGGAAGUGAGGAGCGCCUCUGCCCGGCCGCCCCGUCUGGGAAGUGAGGAGCGCCUCUGCCCGGCCACCCAUCGUCUGGGAGGUGAGGAGCGCCUCUGCCCGGCCGCCCAUCGUCUGGGAGGUGAGGAGCGCCUCUGCCCGGCCACCCAUCGUCUGGGAAGUGAGGAGCGCCUCUGCCCGGACGCCCUGUCUGGGAAGAAGUGGGGAGCGCCUCUGCCCGGCCGCCCCGUCUGGGAGGUGAGGAGCGACUCUGCCCGGCCGCCCCGUCCAGGAAGAAGUGAGGAGUGCCUCUGCUCCGCCGCCCCGUCUGGGAAGUGAGGAGCGCCUCUGCCCGGCCACCCAUCGUCUGGGAGGUGAGGAGCGCCUCUGCCCGGCCGCCCAUCGUCUGGGAGGUGAGGAGCGCCUCUGCCCGGCCACCCAUCGUCUGGGAAGUGAGGAGCGCCUCUGCCCGGACGCCCUGUCUGGGAAGAAGUGGGGAGCACCUCUGCCCGGCCGCCCCGUCUGGGAGGUGAGGAGCGACUCUGCCCGGCCGCCCCGUCCAGGAAGAAGUGAGGAGCGCCUCUGCCCGGCCGCCCCGUCCGGGAAGAAGUGAGGAGCGCCUCUGCCCAGCCACCCAUCGUCUGGGAAGUGAGGAGCGCCUCUGCCCGGCCGCCCUGUCUGGGAAGUGAGGAGCGCCUCUGCCCGGCCACCCAUCAUCUGGGAAGUGAGGAGCGCCUCUGCCUGGCCACCCAUCAUCUGGGAAGUGAGGAGCGCCUCUGCCCGGCCACCCAUCGUCUGGGAGGUGAGGAGCACCUCUGCCCGGCCACCCAUCGUCUGGGAAGUGAGGAGCGCCUCUGCCUGGAAGCCCUGUCUGGGAAGAAGUGAGGAGCGCCUCUGCAUGGCCGCCCCAUCCGGGAAGAAAUGAGCAACGCGUCUACCCGGUCGUCCCGUCUGGGAAUUGAGGAGCGCCUCUGCCCGGCCGCCCCGUCCGGGAAGAAAUGAGGAGCGCCUCUGCCCGGCCACCCAUCGUCUGGGAAGUGAGGAGCGCCUCUGCCCGGCCACCCAUCGUCUGGGAAGUGAGGAGCGCCUCUGCCCGGCCGCCCCGUCUGGGAAGUGAGGAGCGCCUCUGCCCGGCC
This is an RNA transcript of Symphalangus syndactylus (siamang), 2317 nucleotides long. It is a transcript of the gene named multidrug and toxin extrusion protein 2-like, with no coding region annotated. NCBI's taxonomy places the organism in Eukaryota, Metazoa, Chordata, Mammalia, Primates, Hylobatidae. The record is from RefSeq and is a predicted model, not a curated record.